Molecule: long non-coding RNA, 542 nt
Organism: Lotus japonicus
Lineage: Eukaryota; Viridiplantae; Streptophyta; Magnoliopsida; Fabales; Fabaceae
Exons: 3
Source: RefSeq, a predicted model, not a curated record
CCUGGCCGUCGUUCGUCGCCAUCGCCGCUCCGCUUCCGUCCACCACCACUUCGUUCCUCUUCUCCUUGCAAGGGUAAAAAGGUUUCAAAGUAAGGUAACUGCUUGGAGAAAAGAGCUUUGCUGGAAGUGUUAGGCAGGAGGUAUCUUUGGAGUUAAUAUAUUGAUUAUCAAGGAGGUUUCAUGUAGGAUUUAUUCUCUAUGGGUUGUGAAAGUCCAAAGCAAGCAGAGACCAGAAUGUGGUAAAAUGUGGAAAGGAUGAGCUUAAUGGAUAUUGAUUAAAGGUGGAGCAUUUAACUUAAACGAUUCUUUAUAUAUUUAUCAGAGGAGUUUUUUAUGAGCACUUGUGUAGAUUUGCCGUAAACAUGUUCUAUGCAUCUUAUCAACCUGUUGAAUUUUUUUAUUUAGUAACUAAAGCUAACUAGCAGAGGUUUAAAUCUAUUCUAUUGCAUUUGAGUGGUUUUAACGUGUCCAACCAUUGAUGAGUCAAAUGCGUGACUUUUUGUUGGAUGUUGCUCUCAAAUUGCUUUUUGAAAUUGUUCAAG